GAUGAACGCUAGCGGCAGGCUUAAUACAUGCAAGUCGAACGGUAACAGGUCUUCGGACGCUGACGAGUGGCGCACGGGUGAGGAACACGUACACAAUCUACCUUAUACUGGAGAAUAGCCCCGGGAAACUGGGAUUAAUACUCCAUAGUCUUUAAUGAUCACAUGAGAAAUAAAGUAAAGCUUCGGCGGUAUAAGAUGAGUGUGCGUCCCAUUAGAUUGUUGGUGAGGUAACGGCUCACCAAGUCGACGAUGGGUAGCUGGCGUGAGAGCGCGACCAGCCACACUGGCACUGAGACACGGGCCAGACUCCUACGGGAGGCAGCAGUAGGGAAUAUUGGUCAAUGGACGAAAGUCUGAACCAGCCAUGCCGCGUGGAGGAUGACUGCCCUCUGGGUUGUAAACUCCUUUUAUAUGGGAAGAAACCUCUGGAUUCACUCCAGAGCUGACGGUAUCAUAUGAAUAAGCA
RNAcentral lists this ribosomal RNA (466 nucleotides) under uncultured bacterium. RNAcentral describes it as "bacterial SSU rRNA". It matches the Rfam family "Bacterial small subunit ribosomal RNA", at positions 28 to 492 of the family's 1533-position model. The record is from RNAcentral.